UACGUAGGGGGCAAGCGUUGUUCGGAUUUACUGGGCGUAAAGGGCGCGUAGGCGGCGCGUAAAGUCGGACAUGAAAUCAUUGGGCUUAACCUGAUGGCUGUGCCCGAUACUUACGUGCUUGGAGUGCGGGAGAGGCAAUCGGAAUUCUCGGUGUAGCGGUGAAAUGCGUAGAGAUCGAGAGGAACUCCGGUGACGAAGGUGGGUUGCUGGACCGACACUGACGAUGAGGCGCGAAAGCUAGGGGAGCAAACAGG
RNAcentral lists this ribosomal RNA (254 nucleotides) under uncultured bacterium. RNAcentral's name for it is "partial 16S ribosomal RNA". It matches the Rfam family "Bacterial small subunit ribosomal RNA", at positions 524 to 776 of the family's 1533-position model. The record is from RNAcentral.